Drosophila elegans is the source of this 396-nucleotide long non-coding RNA. RefSeq lists it as uncharacterized. The transcript has 2 exons. NCBI's taxonomy places the organism in Eukaryota, Metazoa, Arthropoda, Insecta, Diptera, Drosophilidae. The record is from RefSeq and is a predicted model, not a curated record.
CAAAAAUCCGUCUAAGCUGACUAUCACAACGCUAAGGCAACGGUUAAAAUUGGUGAUGCUGAUUCAGAUGUUUUAACUGCAUUAGUUUUAAAAGUUACUCUUGACCCGCGACGUAACUUUCUGGCUAUUCGUUCUUACGCUUGCUGAAGAGAGAUGGAGAGAACAACUUUGAGGGAGAGAGCAGUCGAGCAGGAGUUUUCAUUAGAGGUGGAGAAACAUUGAUGCAUCGAUGUAUUUUAAUUUUUUGGAAACAUCGAUGUUUUGUGGCGGCUAUCGAUGUAGCGACCAUUCAAACAGGCACCCGGUAUUGCAAAAGCAGCUGUUCAAAAGAUGAAAAAAAUAACACAAAAUUAAAUUUUUCCCGUCAAUAAAAUGGAUAACGCAAAUUCCCGUUAA